GAUGAACGCUGGCGGCGUGCCUAAUACAUGCAAGUCGAGCGAACGGACGAGAAGCUUGCUUCUCUGAUGUUAGCGGCGGACGGGUGAGUAACACGUGGAUAACCUACCUAUAAGACUGGGAUAACUUCGGAAAACCGGAGCUAAUACCGGAUAAUAUUUUGAACCGCAUGGUUCAAAAGUGAAAGACGGUCUUGCUGUCACUUAUAGAUGGAUCCGCGCUGCAUUAGCUAGUUGGUAAGGUAACGGCUUACCAAGGCAACGAUGCAUAGCCGACCUGAGAGGGUGAUCGGCCACACUGGAACUGAGACACGGUCCAGACUCCUACGGGAGGCAGCAGUAGGGAAUCUUCCGCAAUGGGCGAAAGCCUGACGGAGCAACGCCGCGUGAGUGAUGAAGGUCUUCGGAUCGUAAAACUCUGUUAUUAGGGAAGAACAUAUGUGUAAGUAACUGUGCACAUCUUGACGGUACCUAAUCAGAAAGCCACGGCUAGCUACGUG
This 497-nucleotide ribosomal RNA is filed under the name uncultured bacterium. RNAcentral's name for it is "partial 16S ribosomal RNA". It matches the Rfam family "Bacterial small subunit ribosomal RNA", at positions 28 to 507 of the family's 1533-position model. The record is from RNAcentral.